RNAcentral lists this ribosomal RNA (427 nucleotides) under uncultured bacterium. RNAcentral describes it as "bacterial SSU rRNA". It matches the Rfam family "Bacterial small subunit ribosomal RNA", at positions 355 to 774 of the family's 1533-position model. The record is from RNAcentral.
UGGGGAAUUUUGGACAAUGGGCGCAAGCCUGAUCCAGCCAUGCCGCGUGCGGGAAGAAGGCCUUCGGGUUGUAAACCGCUUUUGUCGGGGAAGAAAAGCCUUGGGUUAAUACCCUGGGGUGAUGACGGUACCCGAAGAAUAAGCACCGGCUAACUACGUGCCAGCAGCCGCGGUAAUACGUAGGGUGCAAGCGUUAAUCGGAAUUACUGGGCGUAAAGCGUGCGCAGGCGGUUGUGUAAGACAGAUGUGAAAUCCCCGGGCUCAACCUGGGAACUGCAUUUGUGACUGCACAGCUGGAGUGCGGCAGAGGGGGAUGGAAUUCCGCGUGUAGCAGUGAAAUGCGUAGAUAUGCGGAGGAACACCGAUGGCGAAGGCAAUCCCCUGGGCCUGCACUGACGCUCAUGCACGAAAGCGUGGGGAGCAAACA